UUUUUUUCGUGCAAUACUCCGUCUCUUCCUUUGCUGCUUCCGUUCAGACCUCCGAUCUCCAAGCCAAAUGCGAUUCUGUUUCUGCUCAAAUUUCCGCUGUUGUUGCUUUACUCUGCUUGAUUCUUGCCUUCCAGCCUAGGAUUUUCAUUGCUGAUGUUGGAUUGGCCGGCGCCAUUUGCUUGCAGGGCCUUUGGGUUCUUCAGACUGGGCUUUCGCUUUAUGUUGAAGCGUUUAUUCCUGAAGGUUGUCAUCGGUUGCUUGAUGUGGUGAGUGGGGUUGAGGGUUCCACCAAGUGUGAUCUGGAGGAAUCUAGGUUGAGGGCGGUAGCUAUUUUGGAUCUUUUGUUUGUGGUUCACGUCAUGUUUGUGGUUCUCAUUGUUAUGGUUACAUACGCUGUUAUGGCUAGGACUUUUGGGGUCAGAAGAAUGGGGUCAUACGAGGCUUUGCCUACUACUGCUUCUGAUUCUAAUCAUAUUCAGAUGAAGGCCUUGACUGGCACCCAGGCUUGAUUUUUUGGACUUUGGCGGUGGUGCGCUUUCCCCUUUAGUCCCUCUCUUUCUUUGUUAAAAUAGAUUUUUCUUUUAAAAAAAAUUCUUUUGUUAUGAUUCUUGUGGUACUGGGGAAUCAUAUAUUGCGUCGCUUGUUUUAGCUUAUCUCAACACUGUAACCUCCUGGAAAUUGAGGGAUUUUUGUGCAUAGAAAGUGUCUCCUUUUUUAUUUGAUUAAACUAUUUGGCAGUGUCUUCACUGGAUUUUUUCUUUAUCUCACUUUGAGUACUAGCUUCUUUGAUAGUGCAAACUCCAAUGAUAUAAGGGAUAGAAAUUUAGUAAAAAAAAAAAAGGAGACACUUUCUAUGCACAAAA
RNAcentral lists this unclassified non-coding RNA (863 nucleotides) under Hevea brasiliensis (rubber tree). The record is from RNAcentral. Lineage: Eukaryota; Viridiplantae; Streptophyta; Magnoliopsida; Malpighiales; Euphorbiaceae.